UGAGAGGCUAGGCGUGAGGCAUGCUUGCAAGGUAAGUGCCAUAAGAAGGUGAGGCGAAUAUUCACACAAUUUGUAAUAUACCGAAACGUCGGCAAGCUAUAUCGAACUUUAGUCAAAUUGACUAAAGUGUGUCGAGAGAAAUAGUUGGACAAAGUCCAGUUGACAUUCCAACAAUGUUGGAAGGGUUAAAAUUGAGUCGUGAAUGCGUUAGAAGGGUUUUAGCAUUGCUCGACGUGAAAUGGAGCCGAGGCACUGUCAAAUUGCAGUCUGGGCAAUGCUUAACCGGUGAAGUAGUGCUGCAGAACCGGUACCGGGCAGGCCGCCCGAGAAACCAACUCUCGG
RNAcentral lists this long non-coding RNA (342 nucleotides) under Ananas comosus (pineapple). RNAcentral describes it as "long non-coding RNA (ACOM_LNC042896)". Lineage: Eukaryota; Viridiplantae; Streptophyta; Magnoliopsida; Poales; Bromeliaceae. The record is from RNAcentral.